This 651-nucleotide ribosomal RNA is filed under the name Acinetobacter johnsonii. Its description in RNAcentral is "bacterial SSU rRNA". It matches the Rfam family "Bacterial small subunit ribosomal RNA", at positions 202 to 835 of the family's 1533-position model. Lineage: Bacteria; Pseudomonadati; Pseudomonadota; Gammaproteobacteria; Moraxellales; Moraxellaceae. The record is from RNAcentral.
AAGCAGGGGAUCUUCGGACCUUGCGCUAAUAGAUGAGCCUAAGUCAGAUUAGCUAGUUGGUGGGGUAAAGGCCUACCAAGGCGACGAUCUGUAGCGGGUCUGAGAGGAUGAUCCGCCACACUGGGACUGAGACACGGCCCAGACUCCUACGGGAGGCAGCAGUGGGGAAUAUUGGACAAUGGGCGAAAGCCUGAUCCAGCCAUGCCGCGUGUGUGAAGAAGGCCUUUUGGUUGUAAAGCACUUUAAGCGAGGAGGAGGCUACUUAGAUUAAUACUCUAGGAUAGUGGACGUUACUCGCAGAAUAAGCACCGGCUAACUCUGUGCCAGCAGCCGCGGUAAUACAGAGGGUGCGAGCGUUAAUCGGAUUUACUGGGCGUAAAGCGUGCGUAGGCGGCUUCUUAAGUCGGAUGUGAAAUCCCUGAGCUUAACUUAGGAAUUGCAUUCGAUACUGGGAAGCUAGAGUAUGGGAGAGGAUGGUAGAAUUCCAGGUGUAGCGGUGAAAUGCGUAGAGAUCUGGAGGAAUACCGAUGGCGAAGGCAGCCAUCUGGCCUAAUACUGACGCUGAGGUACGAAAGCAUGGGGAGCAAACAGGAUUAGAUACCCUGGUAGUCCAUGCCGUAAACGAUGUCUACUAGCCGUUGGGGCCUUUGA